This 517-nucleotide ribosomal RNA is filed under the name uncultured bacterium. RNAcentral's name for it is "partial 16S ribosomal RNA". It matches the Rfam family "Bacterial small subunit ribosomal RNA", at positions 29 to 523 of the family's 1533-position model. The record is from RNAcentral.
AACGAACGCUGGCGGCGUGGAUAAGACAUGCAAGUCGAACGGGAUUUUUUUCUGUAGCAAUACAGAGAAAAGUCUAGUGGCGAACGGGUGCGUAACACGUGAGCAACCUGCCGUGAAGUGGGGGAUAGCUCGCCGAAAGGCGAAUUAAUACCGCAUGUGGCCAAGGAAGACAUCUUCCUGACGCCAAAGCCGGGGCAACCUGGCGCUUCUCGAGGGGCUCGCGGCCUAUCAGCUUGUUGGUGAGGUAACGGCUCACCAAGGCUAUGACGGGUAGCUGGUCUGAGAGGACGACCAGCCACACUGGAACUGAGACACGGUCCAGACACCUACGGGUGGCAGCAGUCGAGAAUUUUUCACAAUGGGGGAAACCCUGAUGGAGCGACGCCGCGUGGAGGAUGAAGGUUUUCGGAUUGUAAACUCCUGUCAUUAGAGAACAAGGCACACGGUUUAACUGGCCGUGUGUUGAUAGUAUCUGAAGAGGAAGAGACGGCUAACUCUGUGCCAGCCGCCGCGGUAA